This 258-nucleotide ribosomal RNA is filed under the name uncultured bacterium. RNAcentral's name for it is "partial 16S ribosomal RNA". It matches the Rfam family "Bacterial small subunit ribosomal RNA", at positions 111 to 354 of the family's 1533-position model. The record is from RNAcentral.
UAACGCGUGGGUAACCUGCCCUUUUGUGGGGGAACAACUUCGAGAAAUCGGAGCUAAUACCGCAUAAUAAUAGAGGAUCGCAUGAUUCUUUAAGGAAAGAUGGCCUCUGAAGAUGCUAUCGCAAAAGGAUGGACCCGCGUCUGAUUAGCUAGUUGGAAGGGUAACGGCCUACCAAGGCAACGAUCAGUAGCCGGCCUGAGAGGGUGAACGGCCACAUUGGGACUGAGACACGGCCCAAACUCCUACGGAAGGCAGCAG